UUUUUUAUAAAAAUAAUUUAUUAAUUUAAAGUUUUAGUAUUAAUUGAAAAUUAAUUUAUAGAUUUAUAGUUUAAUAGUAUUGUGAAAGAAAUAAUUAAAUUUAAAAAAGAAUUAUUUUAGUACCUUUUGUAUCAGGGUUGAUUAAAAUUUUUAAUUUUUUUUUAAAUUCUCAAAAUUUAUAGAGUUAAUUUUAUUAUUAAUUUAUUGUGUUAUAAAUAUUUAUAAAAUAAUAUUAGUUUUGAAAUUUAAUUCGUUAUAUUAUAUUUAGUUAUUUAAGAUUUAAAUUUAAUUUAAAAUUUUGAAAGUUAUUUUAAUUUUUUUGAUUAAUAUUUCAAAUUUAAAUUAUUUUAGGGAUAAGCUUGAAAUUUUUAUAUAAUAAUUUAUUUAUUUUAAUAAUUUAUAGGAAUAGAAAUUUUUAUUUAAGUUUGUAAAAAUUUAUUAUUUAUUUAUUUUUAAUUUAUUAUAAAUUAUUUAUUAUUAAUAUUAAAUUUUAUUAAUUAAUAUUUAAUUAAUAGUAAUAAUGAUUAAAUUAGUAUAAUUUAAAUUUAUAAAUUAUGAAUUCGGCAAAAAUUAUUUUCAUCUGUUUAACAAAAACAUUGUAUUAAGUUUAAUUUAAUAUAGGAUCUGCUCAAUGAUUUAUUAAAUAGCUGCAGUAUUUUGACUGUGCAAAGGUAGCAUAAUAAUUAGUCUUUUAAUUGAGGACUUGAAUGAAAGAUUUGAUGAGAAAUAAACUUUAUUAUUUAUAUAAUUAAAAUUUUAUUUUUAAGUAAAAAAGCUUAAAUUUUUUAAAGGGACGAUAAGACCCUAUAAAACUUUAUAAAUUUUAAUUUUAAUUUUUUUGGGUUAAUAAAUAUUUUAUUUUUAAAAUUUAUUUUAUUGGGGUGAUAAAAAAAAUUAAUAAACUUUUUUUAAAAUUUAACAUUAUUUAAUGAAUUAUUGAAUUAAAAUUUUUAAUUAAAGGAAAAAGUUACUUUAGGGAUAACAGCGUAAUUAAUUUUUUAAGUUCAAAUUUAAAAAUUAGUUUGCGACCUCGAUGUUGAAUUAAGAUUAAUCUUAGGUGCAAAAUUUUAAGUAUUAGGUCUGUUCGACCUUUAAA
This 1096-nucleotide ribosomal RNA is filed under the name Rhopalosiphum maidis (corn leaf aphid). RNAcentral's name for it is "partial 16S large subunit ribosomal RNA". Lineage: Eukaryota; Metazoa; Arthropoda; Insecta; Hemiptera; Aphididae. The record is from RNAcentral.